Molecule: non-coding RNA, 65 nt
Organism: Eublepharis macularius
Lineage: Eukaryota; Metazoa; Chordata; Lepidosauria; Squamata; Eublepharidae
Source: the annotation of a RefSeq genome assembly
CUUUUAGAAGCUUGCAACAGCACUAGCCCUUUAAGCUAAAUAAGCAAGAUAACUUGCCUAAAAGA